RNAcentral lists this ribosomal RNA (446 nucleotides) under uncultured bacterium. Its description in RNAcentral is "partial 16S ribosomal RNA". It matches the Rfam family "Bacterial small subunit ribosomal RNA", at positions 338 to 795 of the family's 1533-position model. The record is from RNAcentral.
CCUACGGGAGGCAGCAGUCGAGAAUUAUUCACAAUGGGGGAAACCCUGAUGGUGCGACGCCGCGUGGGGGAAUGAAGGUCUUCGGAUUGUAAACCCCUGUCAUGUGGGAGCAAAUUAAAAAGAUAGUACCACAAGAGGAAGAGACGGCUAACUCUGUGCCAGCAGCCGCGGUAAUACAGAGGUCUCAAGCGGUGUUCGGAAUCACUGGGCGUAAGGCGUGCGUAGGCUGUUUCGUAAGUCGUGUGUGAAAGGCGCGGGCUCAACCCGCGGACGGCACAUGAUACUGCGAGACUAGAGUAAUGGAGGGGGAACCGGAAUUCUCGGUGUAGCAGUGAAAUGCGUAGAUAUCGAGAGGAACACUCGUGGCGAAGGCGGGUUCCUGGACAUUAACUGACGCUGAGGCACGAAGGCCAGGGGAGCGAAAGGGAUUAGAUACCCUGGUAGUC